This 2289-nucleotide long non-coding RNA is filed under the name Mus musculus (house mouse). RNAcentral describes it as "long non-coding RNA chr13:78112481-78114770". The record is from RNAcentral. Lineage: Eukaryota; Metazoa; Chordata; Mammalia; Rodentia; Muridae.
CUGUGCAGUCUAUAACACAUAUGAAAAAUAAAUAUGUUCCUUUAACUUAGCCUUCUUAAGGAUUGUUGUAGGAACAGUAUAAAACAGUGUGGUCAACAUAAGAGAUGAGAGCUACCAUGCUGUAAAGAUAGCUCUGUCACUUGAGAGUCUGGCACACAUGCAUGGUGACCUAAAUUUGAUCCCCUAUAUCCUUAUAAAAAGCUAAGCAUGGUGGUGUAGGCAUGUAAUCUUGGCUUGGGUAGGUCAUAGUGGCAUUUGUUUGUAAUUCCAGCACUAGGGAGGUGAAGGCAAGUAGAAUCCUGUUCUCUAGCCAGCUAGCCUAGACUUAUCAGCAAACCUCAGGUCCCAAUUCUCAAAAUCAAUGGUAGACAGCUGCUGUGGGACAACACCUGAGGCUGACCUCUGACCUCCACUGUCAGGGACAUAGACACAGAUACUCACACUCACAUGUUCACUCGUGCACAUGCACGCACGCAAACACACACACACAUACACUGAGGAGAGGAAGAGGGGAGUAAAGUUAUCAAGGAACAGAUGUGCCACUGUCUAUAUAGUGAUCAGCACUAAAGAACUGGAGGGAGAAAGCCCAAUGGUGAAAAAAGGGGGUCACUAUCUCAGGGCUGCUUACACAUGCAGAGUCGUGUGAAGGGUUACUUUGCUCCAGUUACUGCUCUCAUUGUCGGUUCUGUUUAUUGGCUUACUCUGUUAUUUGGUAUAAUUGGUAUCUUACUAAAGACAUUUAGUUAGGUGUGUAGGUGUAUUUGAAUAUAUUUCGUCUGUAUGUGUCUGGUAUAUAAUGUACAAAUAUAACAUUUGAGUGUAAGUAUCAACAUUUGUGGCAAUUUUCCUAAGAACGUAUCCCAUGCAUCUGUGUUGAGAUAAGAGUGCUAUAAUUAUGACAAUUAAAGACAUUUAAAAGGAGUGAGCAGAUUUGUUUCUCUUUGUAGUCAUUUAUUUACCCUGGUAGCUGAACUCAAUACAGUCACUCCUUUUUAGUUUACUUUUAUCCAAUAUGGGAUGACCUGUUUUAAUUGAGCCUUUUUCCCUAAAAAAAGAAUCGAAACUUGCACAGCUAGCUAGCUCAACUCUUAGUUCUUAUAGUGAACAUGAAAUUUAUCUCCUAAAGAAAUUCUUACAAAAAUUGCUGAAAACUGGAUCCUGCAUGGAAUUUAUAAUUGAAGGCAUUUAGACUUUCUAAUACUGGUCUAAUGUGAAAUGUGCCUGUUUUCAAGAAUGUAGUUAUUUCCUUGUGAUUGGAAAGUCAUAGAAAAUUAGUAUUGUUCUACAAAAAAAAAAAAAAAGUUAAAAGGUCUUCUUGUUCACUGAAUACAUGGCAUCUUUCUUGAAAAAGGUCUCUGUUUCUCCCUCACUCACUCUGGCUGGCACCUGUUCUGCCUUCAUUCUCUUUCUGGUAGCAACUUUUGGCAAAUGCAUGGCCUCUAGCUUCCCUCAGGAUAGUUCAGCUUCAAUGCCACAAGAAUUUCUUAGUUUCUUCUACUCAAACUCUUGAAAAUGAUUUAUUUUAUAAGAUCGUAAGUGACAGGCCAAUGGACUUGCCGUAUCAGCUCAAUCCCUUCCCAGAUUUAAUCAGUCAUGAGUGAGGAUGACCCCUUAUUGUCCUGAAGUAUGUCUGGCAGCAAUGUAGCCUCCCAAGAAGGAGCAGAUGGUGAGAACGCAUUGUGAUUGACACUCUCUCAACAUGCUAUGCCUGGUUCAGGGCUCCCAACUACUAACAAGACCAUUAUUUAAAUGUUAUUUCCUCAAAGAAAUCCCAAACUCUACUCUGUGUGUGCUACCAACAUAUGUUCCAUUAUACUCUAGGGCUCCAUCAUAAACAUCUAUGUCUCUGUCUUGCGAUCAAGCCCUUCCCCUGUAUUAUUAUAGCUUCUCUGUUUUCUCAUAAUCUCUUAAGCCUGUGGCAACAGGAGCAGCAUUUGCCCCACUCAUCCUUCUGUACCCUCUGACCUAAUGCCGGGUUUAUUAGCAGUGUCCUAUCAUGUAUUAAGUCAUUGCUUAUAAUCAUUGUUUUGAUUUUUAUUAAACUAUGACUUUUGCUGUUAGUGAUAUUAUAAGGAUGUGUCACACAGACCUUCUGACUAGCCCCUCUCUCCAACUUGUCAUGUGUUCUGUGCCUUCUUCCUCUCCCUUUGGUUUGUAAUGUCUUCUUUAUUCUCAGGGCCAUCAUCCUACUCUCACUGGUUUCACCUUUCCUUAUCUGGUCUCCCUGACUGCUGCUAUAUCCUACAAGACUCUCUAGAAAUUGGCUCUUCAUAGCUUUCUCUGUAUAUU